UACGGGGAGCACAACCGUUACCCGGAAUCACUGGGCGUAGAGGGUGCGUAGGCGGCCUGAUAAUUCGCGGGUGUAAUCCUCCGGCUUACCCGGAGAACUGCGUGCGAAAAUGUCAGGCUAGAGGGUGCUAGAGGUGACUGGAAUUCCAGGUGUAGCGGUGAAAUGCGUUGAUAUCUGGAGGAAUGCCGAAGGGGAAGCCAGGUCACUGGGGCACUCCUGACGCUGAGGCACGAAAGCUGGGGGAGCAAACCGGAUUAGAAA
RNAcentral lists this ribosomal RNA (261 nucleotides) under uncultured bacterium. RNAcentral describes it as "partial 16S ribosomal RNA". It matches the Rfam family "Bacterial small subunit ribosomal RNA", at positions 524 to 784 of the family's 1533-position model. The record is from RNAcentral.